This is a non-coding RNA of Cinara cedri, 881 nucleotides long. The record is from the annotation of a GenBank genome assembly. NCBI's taxonomy places the organism in Eukaryota, Metazoa, Arthropoda, Insecta, Hemiptera, Aphididae.
CUUAGAUCAUAGAUAUUAGAUAAUAGAAAUGGUCUUCUAAUAUCAUGUAUAAUAUCUUUCUGUUAUCUAAGAUAUCUUCUUUACAUCGUGGUUAUAGAUAUAAAUGGUUGUGAGAUGAGGAAAAAUAUUUGUCAUUUGACCGCAUAGACCUUUUACUAAUAGACGAGCCUUUGUACACGUAGAACGAUCAUAGAUAGAGGGCGCUCUCCACUUGUGACUUGUGACCACUAAACUCUAUACAUUGGAAAAUGUAGGAAAAAUGGGUAAAUUCAAAAUAAGGUUGGUUAGGUUAGGUUUAAAUCUUUUUCACAUGAAAACGCUGAUUGUUUAAUUUUGUUAGGUAAAAUUUUCAAAAUAUUUGAGCCACUUUAAAGCUAUUUAUAGACAUUUUAACUUUGCGAGUUUUUUACUUGGUAAGUUCUCGAUGAAUAAAAUCGUUUAGAGUAUUAUAAUAUAACGACCUUUCAAAAUAUUAUAAUCCAACCACGUUCCGUAUCGUUUUUCAUAAGUAAUAGCUUAUCAAUUAUCAUUGCUUACUGACAUAAAUUAAUUUCACCUCUAUAUCCUAAUUCCUAACUUCUCACCUUCAUCAGUGAACCACCAGUUGUGCGAAGUUUGUCCGUUUUUUACAGGACGUCCUGAUUACUCAGUAUGAUUAUUUAUUAACGAUCACGGACUAAGAUAUUCCAUUGUAUACAAUAUGAGUAUAUGCAUGGCUAAAUAAAAUGUAAUAAGAUAUACAUUCUAUGUUAUGAAUUUUUAAAAAUAAUGUACAUAUUACAUAUUGUACGUACAUAUUAUUUCUUUCUUAUUUACAAUUUAAUAAAAUAAAUAUAUUCCAUGUAAGUACCAUGUAUAUAUUUAUAUAUAUUGAAUUUUGG